GGGAGGAUGGCCGAGUGGUUAAGGCGCUGUGUUUAGGUCUUGCUUUUCAGGGAGACUUGGAACGUUACAAUGGCAGAAACCGCAGUGGGAAACCUCGUGGGUUCGAAUCCCACUCCUCUCA
Cyphellophora europaea CBS 101466 is the source of this 121-nucleotide transfer RNA. It matches the Rfam family "tRNA". Rfam says of the family: Transfer RNA (tRNA) molecules are approximately 80 nucleotides in length. Their secondary structure includes four short double-helical elements and three loops (D, anti-codon, and T loops). The record is from Rfam. NCBI's taxonomy places the organism in Eukaryota, Fungi, Ascomycota, Eurotiomycetes, Chaetothyriales, Cyphellophoraceae.